Molecule: ribosomal RNA, 254 nt
Filed under: uncultured bacterium
Lineage: Bacteria
Description: partial 16S ribosomal RNA
Rfam family: Bacterial small subunit ribosomal RNA
Source: RNAcentral
UACGAAGGGGGCUAGCGUUGCUCGGAAUUACUGGGCGUAAAGGGCGCGUAGGCGGAUACUUAAGUCGGGGGUGAAAGCCCGGGGCUCAACCUCGGAAUUGCCUUCGAUACUGGGUAUCUUGAGUUCGGGAGAGGUGAGUGGAAUGCCGAGUGUAGAGGUGAAAUUCGUAGAUAUUCGGCGGAACACCAGUGGCGAAGGCGACUCACUGGCCCGAUACUGACGCUGAUGCGCGAAAGCGUGGGGAGCAAACAGGG